AGAUGUAGAGAUUGCACAGAACAGUUGUGGUGUGUUGUAUAUUGAAAUUAGGAUCGUAGAAUACAACUGUUUCUUGUUUCGGGGUCACGAAUAGAAAUUUAUGAAUAGCAGUUUCCGCCUCCCCCCUCAAUAGGCAGUAUGCAAAGACACCGAAACUUUUUUUUUUUUGGCUUAUAUUGUGAUGUAAUAAAGGAAAAGGUCGUUUGGAGGAGAGAGGAGAGAGGAGAGUCCUUGAUACUACAACCGUUCUGUUUCCAGUCUGUGUUAGAGUGUUGGACUACAUAGUGACAAGGCAGCUAGACAUCAGCAGACCCGAUGACUAACUCAGAGAAGACGAUGGUGAUGAACGGCUUUGCGGCCUCACCAUCACCACAGAAAGAAGAGAGGGGAGGCAAGCCCGAUUAUGGUGUUCUCCUUUACAUUCCAAACCUCAUAGGAUACACUCGUCUGCUCUUGCUUCUGCUUGCCUUCUGCUUGUUACCAGCUUCACCUGCCUCGUUUGUUACCCUCUACUCCAUCUCUAUUACGUUGGAUGGUUUUGAUGGUUAUGCAGCACGCAAAUUACAUCAGUGUUCCCUCUUUGGAGCUUGGUUUGAUGUGAUUUUGGACAAUCUGGGGAGGGGACUCCUGUGGGUACACAUACAUCCGAUGUUGUACCUGGUAUCAAGUAUUGAAUGGAUGGCAUUUGUUUGUAAUUAUUCAUUUGGUGCUAAAUGGCGUGAGAGUCUCAUUGAAGGGCCCAGAGCUCAGCAGCCUAACACUUUGGUCACCUGUAUAUUGGCUAAUAACUUCCGUAAUGUUUGGGGAGUGUGGGUCAUUGCUGGCCUCCAUGUGCUUCCCGUGUGGCUUCUCGGGAUUAAAUACAACAUCUUUGAGACGCAUUUGUGGUUCCUUCCUCCCUUUAUUCAACCAUUAGGUAUUUUGCUCCUUGGAAUGGGGAGGCUGCUUUGCUUCUGUGUUGAAAUAUGGAGUAUAUGGAACCACAUCUAUGGUCUUCUUAUGAACACAUCUUCUUGCUGAGACUGUGCAGAUGCAGGCACUGUGUCUUGGUAGCCUCGUCGUAUGACUGCCUAUGGUGUCUCUGAUGGAAUGGAAUGUGUAUCUGCAACCAGUCACAAUCAUGUUUGUUGCUGGGGAGUGAAUGUGAAGGACCUAAUAGCCUAGAUGAGGAGAAGUGUUGAAAGUGUGGUUUGGUUAACCCAUUCGUGCCGGGUGACGUGCUGACACGUUUCAUGGUUUUUGCCGGUGACAAGAUAUUUGGCCAAGGCCGGUGCUUGGGUUUGCAGUUAGUGCGGCCGAGGAUCCCGAAGCGUUAGGCCUAUGCGUUCGAAAACCCUGACAUUGUGACCAUUAAUGGGUUAAUGUUGCUUGACUUUGUGCCGCUGAUUGUAUUAGUAAUGUUUUUGGUUGCUCCUUGUAGUAAAGUGAAAUAUUAAUAUUGACUAGGGAGGCUGAUUUAAAGCAUUCUCCAUGGAACCCAAAUCAUUAGAUUUUAUAACUCCAGAUAAACUCAAAUUGCUCUUUCUACCUCACAUGUCUUCUCAACUUCACAUAGCCUGCAGUAAGAAGAAGUCAAUAUCAAUGACUUCAUUUCAUAUCCAUUUGUACUGUUCUUAUUGUUGCUUUUAUGGUGAUUUGAACAAAUGAUAUUGCUAUUUUUAGUGACUAGCCAAUUUAACUCAGAGCUUUAGGUCUCCCAUAAUUUCAGUCACCUGUUAAUCAGGUGAACUUAUACCAGAUAUGUCGUUAUAAAGAAUGUAUGUCAAGAGAAGAGAAAGAUAUUAUUUUUCUGCUUGUGUUUGCCAGUUCCUCUAUACUGUAUCUAAUUAUCAAAGUCUUUAGAAACUUGAUUAUUCUGUAGGGUUAUUUAAAAUAUUGUCCAUUUGUUGCUAUUUUGAAAGAGUAUGGUUAUCUUGUACAACUACUUCUGGUAUGAGUGUUUGAAUAAUUUAGUAAAAUGAAUUUGCUCUAUAAUUUGUGAUGAUUAUCUUUACUCUAGUAAAUCAGGAAUAUUCAUGUCAGAAUAUCACUAGAUCUCAGUAGAUUAGGCAUGUUCCAAUUAAAUGCUGUGUGUAAAUGCUGUAGGAAAUAAUGUUUAAAAAUAUAUCUUUCAUUUUACUAUAUUCUUAUAUUGUAAGACAGUUAUUUUCAUGAGAAUCCCUGAAGAUAUGUGAUGAAGGAUUAUGUCAUGAUAUUACAUUUGUAUAUAUACCAGUAAUUGUGGACAUAUAUAUACACGGACACGCACACACACGUGCACACGCACAUGCACAUGUACACGCACACGCACACGCACACGCACACGCACACGCACACGCAC
Molecule: unclassified non-coding RNA, 2320 nt
Filed under: Penaeus japonicus
Lineage: Eukaryota; Metazoa; Arthropoda; Malacostraca; Decapoda; Penaeidae
Description: probable CDP-diacylglycerol--inositol 3- phosphatidyltransferase 2, transcript variant X1
Source: RNAcentral